AGCAAACUUUUUCUGUAAAGGGUCAAAUAGUAAAUAUUUUAGGGCUUCACAGGUACAUAAAGUUUCUGUUGUUGCUGCUGUUGCUUGUACAGCCUUUAAAAACAUGAAAAACUUUCUUAGCUUCCAGAAUUAGGCUGGAUUUGACCUGUGGCCUGUGGUUUGCUGAGUGUUCCACAAGGUGGAAAGAUCUUGGAUUUCAGGAUGUCUAUGAACAAAUCUCCAAGUGGGAGGAAGAAUCAAGAGGAGAAUAUGGAAGAGUAAACAAAGAAAGAUGUGUGCUUCACAAAUAAAUUGAAUCUGCAAAACGCAUGGAAACUUCAGGAGCAUACCUUUGAGGCACUGAAUGGAAUCUGAUAGUUGAAGUGAAGCCAACUUCAGUUUUUAAGGAGAAAUUUUCAUAUUCCAUGUGGGCAGAUGCAAAGUCUGGAUGAAUAAGUGACAAAACAAUGAAGAAAAUAUUCUGUGUUAUUCAUUCCCAAAGUCUGAGAGACCAAAAUGGUACUAAGAAAUACAAAUUCCAAAUUUGCUCAUUUUGUGUGUGUGUGUGUGUUUGUUUUUUUGUUUUAAUCCUCACCCGAUGAUAUUUCCAUUGAUUUUUAGAGACAGUGGAAGAGAGAGGAAAAGAC
Molecule: long non-coding RNA, 626 nt
Organism: Myotis lucifugus (little brown bat)
Lineage: Eukaryota; Metazoa; Chordata; Mammalia; Chiroptera; Vespertilionidae
Exons: 3
Source: RefSeq, a predicted model, not a curated record